Molecule: ribosomal RNA, 1106 nt
Rfam family: Eukaryotic large subunit ribosomal RNA
GCGAGUGAAGCGGGAAGAGCUCAAGCUUAAAAUCUCCGUGCAAGUUUUGUGCGGCGAAUUGUAGUCUAUAGAAGCGUGGUCAGCAUGGGCACUUGGGGCAAGUUCCUUGGAAGAGGACAGCAUGGAGGGUGAUACUCCCGUUCAUUUCUGAGUUGCUCGUGCGUACGACCCGUUUUCUUUGAGUCGCGUUGUUUGGGAAUGCAGCGCAAAGUAGGUGGUAAAUUCCAUCUAAAGCUAAAUAUUGGUGCGAGACCGAUAGCGAACAAGUACCGUGAGGGAAAGAUGAAAAGAACUUUGAAAAGAGAGUUAAAGAGUACCUGAAACUGCUGAAAGGGAACCGAAUCGUUUCCAGUGUCUAUAAUCCGUGGUAUAUUUCAUUGGCGAGUGUGUGCGUGCGUGUGCUGUGGCAGCGGCUUUUUUGGCUGCGCUCGGCGUGUGUGCUGUGUGUGCUUGCUGGUGCUCUGUGCUGCGGUGGGACGUCAAGGUCAGUUCGUAUGCUGCGGGAAAUGGCUGCCGAGGAGGUAGGGCUUACGCUUGCGUUUGUCUGUUAUAUCUUGGUGGACGAGUAGUCGCGGUUGGGACUGAGGUGCCUACAACGUGCUUUUGAGUGGGUUUGUGUCUCCGUGUGCGCCGUGUGCGGAUAGCUUGCUAUGCGUGUGUGGUUGUGUGUGGAUUGAUGCGAGCUUUAACUUGUUGCCGUUCGGGACGUUGACGAAAUGGAGCGAUUCGACCCGUCUUGAAACACGGACCAAGGAGUCUAACAUGUGUGCAAGUGUUAGGGUGUGGAAACCCCAGCGCGAAAUGAAAGUGAAGGGCAGCGUAAGUUGUCUGAGGUAGGAAAUGCUGCGGGCUUCGGUCUGCGGUGUGGCACUAUCGACCGAUCAUGAACCUUCGUGGUGAAAGAUUUGAGUUUGAGCACAUAUGUUGGUACCCGAAAGAUGGUGAACUAUGCCUGAGUAGGGUGAAGCCAGGGGAAACUCUGGUGGAAGCUCGUAGCGAUUCUGACGUGCAAAUCGAUCGUCAAACUUGGGUAUAGGGGCGAAAGACUAAUCGAACCAUCUAGUAGCUGGUUCCCUCCGAAAUUUCCCUCUCCCCGAGAGGAUAUA